GCAUGGGUUUGAAUUUAUGGCAGGCCAGUCCCUGUGGGGCCCUCAUAGUGUCCCAUGCCAGAGAAAAUGUAACCUCAAAUCAUUGUCUAACUUCCUUGCCUCAGGCACUGCAGCAAGUUAGUUGUACAGUG
Molecule: small nucleolar RNA, 131 nt
Organism: Echinops telfairi (small Madagascar hedgehog)
Lineage: Eukaryota; Metazoa; Chordata; Mammalia; Afrosoricida; Tenrecidae
Product: small nucleolar RNA SNORA42/SNORA80 family
Exons: 1
Source: RefSeq, a predicted model, not a curated record